Hibiscus syriacus is the source of this 971-nucleotide long non-coding RNA. RefSeq lists it as uncharacterized. The record is from RefSeq and is a predicted model, not a curated record. NCBI's taxonomy places the organism in Eukaryota, Viridiplantae, Streptophyta, Magnoliopsida, Malvales, Malvaceae. The transcript has 5 exons.
AAACCCUCCCUCCUUUAUUUUCGUUCUCUCUUCUUCCCCGCUCAGCAUCCAAAUUUUCCCCUUUUUCUCUCGUUUUCCCUCUUUCAUUGUUGUUUCUGGAAUUGAAGGUUCUACUAAUAAAAUUAAUAAUCGCAAAGGUACAAUAGGUGGUGGUCCUGGAUUGGCUAGGCGAACACAUGCACCUGUGGAGUCUUCACCUCCUUCCCCAGCAGUUUUGCGAGCCUCUAUGUCAUUGAGAUUGCAAUUUAUUGUGAGAUUGCUGCCAAUAAUAUGUGCAGAUGAGUAAAUAUAUGAUCUAUUUUCCCCUUGUUUCAUUUAUUCCACUUUAAAUAAACAUGAUCAGUUUCUAUCCUUACUGCUUUGUCAGACUUUUUUUUUUGUUUUCGAAUUUACUAAGCAGCUACCAGGCACCUCUUCCCCCCUUUCUACUCCAUUUCGUUUUCUUCUCCCGCGUAAAAUAUUCGCAAUUUCUUACACUCUUUCUCGUUUCUCAAAUCUCAGCUGGUGAUCAAUGAGAUCGACUCAUCCGCCGCCACUCCUCUCCAAGCCGUUAAAUUACUGGCCCAAUAUCUCUCCAACCCUCACGAUAAGGAGUCAAUAAUUGUGAGCUUGAAAGAGUUGUUGGCAGAUCCAGAAAUUGGAAACAAUGCCACAUUAAGGUUGAUUGCUGGAAUCGUUUUCAUGCAUUAAGAAGAUUAUAAUGAAGCUCUUAAACACACCAAUGCUGGUGGCACCAUGGAACUAGACAUGGCAUAUCAGUUCUGGCAACGUGUAUUUAAGGAUAAGCACCGUCUUGAACAUUUGAAACGAGUGAUGGAGUUUGAAGAAAUGGAACCUGCAACAUUAUUAAUGCCAAAGCUUGAAGAAGAAUGAUUCAGAUAUAUUCAAUUUCAUGCACCGUUUCCGGCCAUACUUUCUGCCUGCAUCUAAUGGUAGAUUCAGAUAUAUUAGAUUCAGAUAUUGCUUGCUUC